Molecule: ribosomal RNA, 433 nt
Filed under: uncultured bacterium
Lineage: Bacteria
Description: partial 16S ribosomal RNA
Rfam family: Bacterial small subunit ribosomal RNA
Source: RNAcentral
AACGAACGCUGGCGGCAUGCCUAACACAUGCAAGUCGAACGAGACCUUCGGGUCUAGUGGCGCACGGGUGCGUAACGCGUGGGAACCUGCCCUUAGGUUCGGAAUAACUCCCCGAAAGGGGUGCUAAUACCGGAUAAUGUCUUCGGACCAAAGAUUUAUCGCCUUUGGAUGGGCCCGCGUUGGAUUAGCUAGUUGGUAGGGUAAAAGCCUACCAAGGCGCCGAUCCAUAGCUGGUCUGAGAGGAUGAUCAGCCACACUGGGACUGAGACACGGCCCAGACUCCUACGGGAAGCAGCAGUGGGGAAUAGUGGACAAUGGGCGAAGGCCUGAUCCAGCAAUGCCGCGUGAGUGAUGAAGGCCUUAGGGUUGUAAAGCUCUUUUAACCGGGAUGAUAAUGACAGUACCGAGAGAAUAAGCUCCGGCUAACUCCGUG